UCGACUGGGAUAACUCCGGGAAACCGGGGCUAAUACCGGAUAACAUCUAGCACCUCCUGGUGCCGGAUUAAAAGAGGGCUUCUUGCUCUCACGAUGAGAUGGGCCCGCGGCGCAUUAGCUAGUUGGAGAGGUAACGGCUCCCCAAGGCGACGAUGCGUAGCCGACCUGAGAGGGUGAUCGGCCACACUGGGACUGAGACACGGCCCAGACUCCUACGGGAGGCAGCAGUAGGGAAUCUUCCGCAAUGGACGAAAGUCUGACGGAGCAACGCCGCGUGAGUGAUGAAGGGUUUCGGCUCGUAAAGCUCUGUUAUGAGGGAAGAACACGUACCGUUCGAAUAGGGCGGUACCUUGACGGUACCUCAUCAGAAAGCCACGGCUAACUACGUGCCAGCAGCCGCGGUAAUACGUAGGUGGCAAGCGUUGUCCGGAAUUAUUGGGCGUAAAGCGCGCGCAGGCGGCCUUUUAAGUCUGAUGUGAAAUCUUGCGGCUCAACCGCAAGCGGCCAUUGGAAACUGGGAGGCUUGAGUACAGAAGAGGAGAGUGGAAUUCCACGUGUAGCGGUGAAAUGCGUAGAUAUGUGGAGGAACACCAGUGGCGAAGGCGACUCUCUGGUCUGUAACUGACGCUGAGGCGCGAAAGCGUGGGGAGCAAACAGGAUUAGAUACCCUGGUAGUCCACGCCGUAAACGAUGAGUGCUAGGUGUUAGGGGUUUCGAUGCCCGUAGUGCCGAAGUUAACACAUUAAGCACUCCGCCUGGGGAGUACGGCCGCAAGGCUGAAACUCAAAGGAAUUGACGGGGGCCCGCACAAGCAGUGGAGCAUGUGGUUUAAUUCGAAGCAACGCGAAGAACCUUACCAGGUCUUGACAUCCUUUGACCACUCUGGAGACAGAGCUUCCCCUUCGGGGGCAAAGUGACAGGUGGUGCAUGGUUGUCGUCAGCUCGUGUCGUGAGAUGUUGGGUUAAGUCCCGCAACGAGCGCAACCCUUGACCUUAGUUGCCAGCAUUUAGUUGGGCACUCUAAGGUGACUGCCGGUGACAAACCGGAGGAAGGUGGGGAUGACGUCAAAUCAUCAUGCCCCUUAUGACCUGGGCUACACACGUGCUACAAUGGAUGGUACAAAGGGUUGCGAAGCCGCGAGGUGAAGCCAAUCCCAUAAAGCCAUUCUCAGUUCGGAUUGUAGGCUGCAACUCGCCUGCAUGAAGCUGGAAUUUCUAGUAAUCGCGGAU
This 1230-nucleotide ribosomal RNA is filed under the name Alkalicoccobacillus gibsonii. RNAcentral's name for it is "bacterial SSU rRNA". It matches the Rfam family "Bacterial small subunit ribosomal RNA", at positions 134 to 1349 of the family's 1533-position model. Lineage: Bacteria; Bacillati; Bacillota; Bacilli; Caryophanales; Bacillaceae. The record is from RNAcentral.